Molecule: ribosomal RNA, 253 nt
Filed under: uncultured bacterium
Lineage: Bacteria
Description: partial 16S ribosomal RNA
Rfam family: Bacterial small subunit ribosomal RNA
Source: RNAcentral
UACGGGGGGGGCAAGCGUUGGUCGGAAUUACUGGGCGUAAAGGGCUCGUAGGCGGCCAACUAAGUCAGACGUGAAAUCCCUCGGCUUAACCGGGGAACUGCGUCUGAUACUGGAUGGCUUGAGUGUGGGAGAGGGAUGCGGAAUUCCAGGUGUAGCGGUGAAAUGCGUAGAUAUCUGGAGGAACACCGGUGGCGAAGGCGGCGAGCUGGUCCAUUACUGACGCUGAGGCGCGACAGCGUGGGGAGCAAACAGG